RNAcentral lists this ribosomal RNA (1463 nucleotides) under uncultured Klebsiella sp. RNAcentral's name for it is "bacterial SSU rRNA". It matches the Rfam family "Bacterial small subunit ribosomal RNA". Lineage: Bacteria; Pseudomonadati; Pseudomonadota; Gammaproteobacteria; Enterobacterales; Enterobacteriaceae. The record is from RNAcentral.
AUUGAACGCUGGCGGCAGGCCUAACACAUGCAAGUCGAGCGGUAGCACAGAGAGCUUGCUCUCGGGUGACGAGCGGCGGACGGGUGAGUAAUGUCUGGGAAACUGCCUGAUGGAGGGGGAUAACUACUGGAAACGGUAGCUAAUACCGCAUAACGUCGCAAGACCAAAGUGGGGGACCUUCGGGCCUCAUGCCAUCAGAUGUGCCCAGAUGGGAUUAGCUAGUAGGUGGGGUAACGGCUCACCUAGGCGACGAUCCCUAGCUGGUCUGAGAGGAUGACCAGCCACACUGGAACUGAGACACGGUCCAGACUCCUACGGGAGGCAGCAGUGGGGAAUAUUGCACAAUGGGCGCAAGCCUGAUGCAGCCAUGCCGCGUGUGUGAAGAAGGCCUUCGGGUUGUAAAGCACUUUCAGCGGGGAGGAAGGCGUUAAGGUUAAUAACCUCAUCGAUUGACGUUACCCGCAGAAGAAGCACCGGCUAACUCCGUGCCAGCAGCCGCGGUAAUACGGAGGGUGCAAGCGUUAAUCGGAAUUACUGGGCGUAAAGCGCACGCAGGCGGUCUGUCAAGUCGGAUGUGAAAUCCCCGGGCUCAACCUGGGAACUGCAUUCGAAACUGGCAGGCUAGAGUCUUGUAGAGGGGGGUGGAAUUCCAGGUGUAGCGGUGAAAUGCGUAGAGAUCUGGAGGAAUACCGGUGGCGAAGGCGGCCCCCUGGACAAAGACUGACGCUCAGGUGCGAAAGCGUGGGGAGCAAACAGGAUUAGAUACCCUGGUAGUCCACGCCGUAAACGAUGUCGAUUUGGAGGUUGUGCCCUUGAGGCGUGGCUUCCGGAGCUAACGCGUUAAAUCGACCGCCUGGGGAGUACGGCCGCAAGGUUAAAACUCAAAUGAAUUGACGGGGGCCCGCACAAGCGGUGGAGCAUGUGGUUUAAUUCGAUGCAACGCGAAGAACCUUACCUGGUCUUGACAUCCACAGAACUUUCCAGAGAUGGAUUGGUGCCUUCGGGAACUGUGAGACAGGUGCUGCAUGGCUGUCGUCAGCUCGUGUUGUGAAAUGUUGGGUUAAGUCCCGCAACGAGCGCAACCCUUAUCCUUUGUUGCCAGCGGUUAGGCCGGGAACUCAAAGGAGACUGCCAGUGAUAAACUGGAGGAAGGUGGGGAUGACGUCAAGUCAUCAUGGCCCUUACGACCAGGGCUACACACGUGCUACAAUGGCAUAUACAAAGAGAAGCGACCUCGCGAGAGCAAGCGGACCUCAUAAAGUAUGUCGUAGUCCGGAUUGGAGUCUGCAACUCGACUCCAUGAAGUCGGAAUCGCUAGUAAUCGUAGAUCAGAAUGCUACGGUGAAUACGUUCCCGGGCCUUGUACACACCGCCCGUCACACCAUGGGAGUGGGUUGCAAAAGAAGUAGGUAGCUUAACCUUCGGGAGGGCGCUUACCACUUUGUGAUUCAUGACUGGGGUGA